AAAAAAGCUGAGCCCUGCGCCGAAAUGGAAGGUUUGGUGAUACGCAUGGAGCCAAUGAAAGGGCACUUGUGUCAGAAAGAAUAAUGACUCACUCACACACUCACGCACUAGUUUGACUCUGUACAAUUUUCCGUCCCCCUUUUACUCCCAAACAUACAAACCUCGAUUUCCGUUCCCCCUAAUUCCCUUUUCUUUCACGAUGGAAUCUCGCAAAUUAGCCACCAUUCUCUCCUCCCUCAUCUCCCAACUCCUCCUUCUCCUCCUCCACAACAUUUUCCCUUUCCCCCCAAAUUCCGUCCCUCCAAACAAUUCCACUGAUUCCAUCCUCCCGCUCCUCCUCUUCUCCCACCAACUCGCCGCCACACUCUCCCUCUCCCCCAAACACCGCAAAAACAAACGCAAACGCGAUUUUCAACACCCCAAUCCCCUCACCCGCACCCCGGACUCCUUCCGCAACACCUUCCUCAUGUCCUCCUCCUCCUUCGAGUGGCUCUCCGGCCUCCUGGAGCCCCUCCUCGAGUGCCGCGACCCCGCCCCCCUCUUCCACUCCCUCCACCUCUCCUCCGGCGCCCGCCUCGCCAUCGGCCUCUCCCGUCUCGCCGAGGGCCAGGACUACCAACAAAUCUCCGCCCGCUUCGCCGUCUCCGACCCCGUCGCUAAAUUCUGCGUCAAGCAACUCUGCCGCGUCCUCUGCACCAACUUCCGCUUCUGGGUCUCCUUCCCCUCCCCUUCCGACCUCCCCUCCAUCUCCCAAUCCUUCCAAUCCCUCUCCGGCCUCCCCAAUUGCUGUGGCGCCGUCCUAUGCACCCGCUUUAAUAUAGUAGUCAACGCCAAUAGCACCACCACCACCACCACCACCAACGACAAAGUCUCAGUUUCUCAAGUCGCCGCCCAAAUAGUCGUCGAUUCCUCUUCCCGGAUCCUCACCAUCGCCGCCGGCUUCCUCGGACACAAAUCCGAUUCCCAAAUUCUACAAGCCUCCACUCUUUACAACGACAUCCAGCAGGGAACCCUCCUAAACGCGCCGUGUAAUCAGUUUCUAAUCGGCGAUUCAGAGUAUCCUCUGCUUCCCUGGCUUAUGGUUCCCUAUGCAAACCCUGCUCCUGCCUCUGCUGAAGAGAAUUUCAACUCUGCUCAUGAAAUCAUGCGGCUUCCCGCGCUCAGAGCCGCGGCGAGUCUAAGGAAUUGGGGGGUUCUGAGUCGACCGGUGUGUGAGGAGCUUAAGACGGCCGUGGCUUACAUUGGCGCGUGCUCCAUUCUUCACAAUAGUUUGCUGAUGAGGGAGGAUUUUUCCGCUCUGGCUUCGGAGUUUGAGGAUUGUAAUCAAGGUUGUUAUGGCGAGCCUUGUAAUGCUAUGUUGGAUGGUGAGGCUGUGUCUUCCAAGGCUUUGGCUUUGCGUGACAAUUUGGCUGCCGUGGCAAAGAAAAUUCGUGACUCGAAGAAUUCUUGAUUGGUUAAAGAAAGAUUGGUGAAUGGUGUAUGCGAUUUUUCAGGUUGAAUUUGUUGUUAUGGUGGACGCGGGAGUGUAAAUAUUACUGCCUCUUGAGCAUUGGUUUUUGUUUAAUUAUUGCUCGAGAAAUGGUUCUUCUUUUGUUCUGUGAAUUGAUCCGCGUCUACAAUGUCUGAGGCCAUUGAUUCAUAUUUUUUAUGUUACUUACUCCUUUGGGUUCAAUUUACAUGGACAUGGUGUUUAUAUUGGAUAGUUUUAUCUUUUAUGUUGGGUUUGAAUGAACUCUAGAGUUUUCUGUUGUUUAGUUGUGUCUUGCCCAUUUUGCAAUUUGUGUCAUAAGGAACCAUAGUGCACCCAAAUUUGGUGUACUAGGUUUAUGUGAAAGUGUUUCUCACCUUUUUGUGACCGUAGUUUUUAAGUUUCGUUGGCCCCAUUAGCAUUUAGACAAACCACUAUUGCAUGAAAGAAUUAAAAAAGAACCAUUACUGCUUGUAGAGUGCAUUCUCCAUUCAUUGCUUUGCAACCAUUUGAUAUUGCCGUGUGACAAAUCUUUUUUAUUUUCAACAAAUGGCAGACACAAUUGAACUCGUUUGUGUUGCCCUUAGUUUUGGUUUGACUUAAUUUCUUCAGGGUUUUCUGUGGGAUGAUGGAUGUAGAGAUUGAUGGAAUGUGUAAAUUUCAAUAUGAGAACAUUGUUCUUUGCAGAAUGCGCACACGAUGCAUGGGAGUUGCAGUAAUGAAGGAUUUGGUAAUUGGAGGAUAAAUUAUGCAAAACUUGAUCCCUGCUGACUGUAAAUGACACCAACCGGAUGAAUUGAAGGACAGGCACCCCAGUGUUUUGACUAUAAUUUGAUGAGAUAGCAACAGAUCACUCUGGGAAAAGUCUAUGAAAUUAAGGCUGUACCAAUGGUAUUGUUUUUGAAAAAUGACUGGAAAUGUUACACUGUAUGUGAUACCAUGCUAAUGUAGUUUAAUGUGGCAGCCAAUGAGAUAUGUGAGGGUGUUGAAGUCCUAAACGUGGAUCGGUUCAGAAAUGGGUAUAAACAUUUGCUCUUGAA
RNA transcript from Glycine soja, 2508 nucleotides. It is a transcript of the gene named protein ALP1-like, with no coding region annotated. The record is from RefSeq and is a predicted model, not a curated record. Lineage: Eukaryota; Viridiplantae; Streptophyta; Magnoliopsida; Fabales; Fabaceae. The transcript has 2 exons.